CUGUGAUUGGCCCACCCUGGAUGGUGCCCAUCUGCAGAGACAGAUGGGGUCAGUCACACAGAAAGCUGAUGGCCUGAGAGUUGGGGCGAGGAGACCCAGGAGCCAUCAGAAAAGGGGACGGAAGCAGGGGGGUGAGCAUGGCAGCAGCCUGCAGGAUGGCUUCCCAUGGCCGCUGUGGGGUGGGAACUGGAGCAGUGUUUUCCCUCCCAUGUGUCGGGUCUCCAGACCCUGCACCCAGCGGUGCCACUCGACGCUUCCCCUGGGCCCCAAAGUGUCGCCCUGGGCAGGCCCGUCAGGGAAGGUGCUUGCCGAGGGCGAGGCCCAGGGCAGGCAACCCCAUCAGGAUUCAGGCUGUGGGGCAGAAAGGGACAGGCCACCUUCCAAGGUGGCAGCCAGGCCAAGCCAGCAGGCCCGGGCCUGGGAGGGGCCUUGGGGCCAGAACCGGAAUUGGGCCAAAGCAGCAGCAAGCCCCGCAGGGCCAUCCCGCCGUGGCUCAGCAAGGCGCCCGGCACCGGAGCUGCGGGGCUGCACCUGAAGGCGGGGGCUGAGCCAGAGGUCAGCGGGUGGACGCGGGCCAGGGGGGCUGGGAACGUGUCUGAGUGUGUGAGUGAGAGGUGGCGUGCGUGUGUGGGCCAGUGUGAGGGCACACGUGUGCACACGUGCUGUGACCGCAGUCGGGACCAGGGUAGACGCAGGUUCUCAUGUGGGGUCUGAGGGGGCCCGACUUUGGACACUGAGGAUGGGGCGGGGCUGAGAGGCUGCAGACGGGCCGCCCAGUGCUGGGCUCCUGCGGAGUGCAGGGCGGGCACUGGAGCUGCGGAGCCGGUUCAGGGCCCCAGGAGGACAGGCAGCUCAGGACGACAGUGACAGCUGCUGCUUCCACUGGCCGGGGGUGGCCGUCAGUGCCUCUCACCCCACAAGCAACAGACAGCCCACACAUCGCAGUUCAGACGCAGGGCAGCACGUGACACAGCCAAGCUGGUUUGAGAGCAGGGCCGUCCUGACUCUUAGAGGACACAGGACAUCGGCUCCGGGGCCGUCCAUUGGGAAAGGAUGUACCUGGAGCCAGGGCAGGACAAGGUCAGGACAAGGAUGCAGCCUUGGUGCCCAAAGAUGGAGCUGCCUGCUUAUGACCAUGGGGAUUAAAGACACAGCUGGCGACGGUGCCAUCGGGAAGCUGGGAGGAGCCUGGUUCCUGACGGCUCCUUGAAGCCCUGGUACCAGCCUGGCAGCUGCCAACCUUGAGAGUCCUCGUGACAGGAGGAAAAUAAGGCCGUAUUGGUUAAGCUGCUGUGGUUAGCGCAUGAAGCAAGCCGAAUUGUAACCAAUGCGAUUCUAAUUAAAGACAAGGUACAAAAUGCGGUGUCGUGGGUUGACUCGAUAUGUCCUCUUGGAACCUCAGAAUGUGACCUUAUUUGGAAUGAAGGUCUUUGCAGAUGUGUUAAGGUGAGGACCUCAAGAUGAGGUCAUCCUGGAUCAGUGUGGGCCCUAAAUCCAACGACACGGGUCAUGAGAAGACACACAGGGAAGACGCCGUGUGAAGAUGAGGCAGAGGUGGGAGUGAUGAGGCCACAAGCCAAGGAGCAAACGUCAGGAGCCGCCAGUUGCUGGAAGAGGCAGGGAAGGGUCCACCCAGGAGCCUUCUGAGGGAGCACGGCCCCUCACAGCUCAUUUCAGGCUUCCGGCCUCCAGAACUGUGAGAGAAGAAAUUCCUGUUGUUUGAAGUGACCAAGUUUGUGGUCAUUUGUUACAGCAGCCCUAAGAC
Molecule: long non-coding RNA, 1765 nt
Organism: Equus caballus (horse)
Lineage: Eukaryota; Metazoa; Chordata; Mammalia; Perissodactyla; Equidae
Source: Ensembl